Molecule: long non-coding RNA, 236 nt
Organism: Prionailurus viverrinus (fishing cat)
Lineage: Eukaryota; Metazoa; Chordata; Mammalia; Carnivora; Felidae
Exons: 3
Source: RefSeq, a predicted model, not a curated record
GGUCAAAUGAGAAUCUUUCUGAAAAGCAGAUAAUGUCCUCACAGAAGGGAAUUGCCUAAAAACAUGUAGAACAUAGCUCCUAUGCUACAAGAAUAAUCUGCCCAAGGUCACACAGGUUCAGAAAAGUCAUGAAUAGCAGCACUGGCAAGCUGCCUGCAAAGAAGCCUGCUCUUCCUUGUCUGAGUUUUCCAGAGACAGGCCCCAUGCGGGGAAGCCUGCAGAAGACCGGCACUGCC